Lycium ferocissimum is the source of this 1364-nucleotide RNA transcript. RefSeq lists it as uncharacterized. The transcript is spliced from 3 exons. Lineage: Eukaryota; Viridiplantae; Streptophyta; Magnoliopsida; Solanales; Solanaceae. The record is from RefSeq and is a predicted model, not a curated record.
UGCUCGUCUCUUUAUCAUUGUUGUUCAUGCCAUAUCUGGAUCCACUCUAAUCUCUCUUUCCUUUUUCAUCUCUCUAUAUAUAUAUAUUCAGAUACCAUCUGCAGGUAGGGGUUCCUAUGGCUCUUUGGGUCUAGUUUCUGGUUUAUCCUUCAAAUUGCUGAUCUGACAUUAUGUUACGAGGGGAAACGAUACGAUUUAUCCAAACAUUGUAUUCAUCAAACAAUACAGUACAAUACGAUACAAUACUAUUCAUUAUGAAGCAAUAUGUGACAACCAUCCAAACAACCCCGCUACUUUAAAGAAUUUCUCUUUUUCGGAGAGAUAGAGAGAGAGAGAGAGGGGUGGGGUGAUGCUUCCAUUAAAGCUAGUACGUUCGUUGGUUUCAGGAGAUGCCAUUGCCAAUCCCACCCGCCUUGUUAGCUUACCCUUUCAUCAGAGUGAUCACACUGACCAUGAGAGCAAGUUUGAUGAAAACAUAGCCCUAAGCAGCAUGUCUAGCACAGAAAAGAUCGCUUUGAUGCUCUUCGUUCCGACCAGGGAAUUGGUGAAAGAUUCAUAUAGACUGGCCACAUUAGCUAGAGAUAUUGGAAUGGAUCUUUUCCCAAACCCAUCUCUUUCGCACAUCAUCUUCUCAUGGCCAAACACACACACAAACUCCAAUUCUUCAUCUCCAUCUGUGUCUUUGUCUUGGUCAUCGGCUUCCCUCUUAUCAAACGAUGCUGCUCCGCUUCCCUUUCCAUCUCUUGCCACUGCGUCUCUGUCCAACUUGCGCCUCUUCGCUAAUCUCUCAAAGGGCUUUUUCAAGUUGGUUUUCUUGAAAUCUAAUCACAACCCAUUUCACGAUAUCAGUAGCUAUUCGAGCAACAAUAAUUGGGAUGUCACAACCCUUUCGUUGGUUUCGAAGAACACUGGGAUUAGAAUUGAUUCUAUGGAUCGGUUUUCCAAGUCUUUGCUUGGAGUAGGUUGGACACUAUUUAAGUCUAAGACGAGCAGUGAUUCUAGGGAUAAGCAUUCAGUUGUAUAUCUGUAUAAGAAGCUAGAUUUAAAUAGAGUUCAUUUUAGAUGGCCAUAUGAAAACGAAACUGGGAUUUGUUCAAGUCCGAGUCCAAGUCCGAGUCCAAGUCCGGGUGAAUCUUGUAGGGUUAGAGAAUUGAGGCUGCCCCAAUUGGACUUCAAAAAUGCACCUUUGAGGAUUUUGCAGUACAUUCUUCUGAUGACUGAUGACGUCUUCUAUCUUACAUAGUUUUUCUCAGGUGAGUUUUUCAAUCUGAUAGUUAAUUACAGUAAUUACUUUUUCCCUGGAUGGGAGCUGCUAGAGUUGGUGAAAAGAAAAAGUGAAGUGUGUCUCUUGCACAUUUUGAUGA